RNAcentral lists this ribosomal RNA (253 nucleotides) under uncultured bacterium. RNAcentral describes it as "partial 16S ribosomal RNA". It matches the Rfam family "Bacterial small subunit ribosomal RNA", at positions 524 to 776 of the family's 1533-position model. The record is from RNAcentral.
UACGAAGGGGGCUAGCGUUGCUCGGAAUCACUGGGCGUAAAGCGCACGUAGGCGGAUCUUUAAGUCAGGGGUGAAAUCCUGGAGCUCAACUCCAGAACUGCCUUUGAUACUGGGGAUCUCGAGUCCGGAAGAGGAGAGUGGAAUUCCCGGUGUAGCGGUGAAAUGCGCAGAUAUCGGGAAGAACACCCGUGGCGAAGGCGGCUCUCUGGGACGGUACUGACGCUGAGACGCGAAAGCGUGGGGAGCAAACAGG